This is a regulatory RNA element of Neisseria sp. oral taxon 020, 80 nucleotides long. It matches the Rfam family "Alpha operon ribosome binding site". From Rfam's summary of the family: The bacterial alpha operon ribosome binding site is surrounded by this complex pseudoknotted structure. Translation of the mRNA produces 4 ribosomal protein products, one of which (S4) acts as a translational repressor by binding to the nested pseudoknot region. NCBI's taxonomy places the organism in Bacteria, Pseudomonadati, Pseudomonadota, Betaproteobacteria, Neisseriales, Neisseriaceae. The record is from Rfam.
AAAUUUAAGAUUUAAUUUAAAAAAAUCUUAUAGAUAAAGGAAUAUUUAUGGCUCGUAUAGCAGGGGUUAACAUCCCUAAU